UAUUUUUUUCUUUCUAUGUUCACAUAAGCUGCUAUGAUGCUAUUUGCUGAUCAAGACCCUUCUAAUAAUGAGCCAUGCAUAAGCCAAAAUAAUCCAAACAUAAACCAUUCCAAACAGCCCCCUAAUAAUGAGCAACUUGUAUUUGAUUGUGUUUUCACAUAAGUACUCCAUUAUUCAACUUUCCACCUAUCUGACUAGGGCAUUACAUAUAAAUUAGACAUUUAAUGCUCUUAAUGAUUAUAUGUCUUGAAUAAGUUCAAUAUUACAAUUUGCUUUGUGUGCCAGUUUGCAUAAUAUGGGAUUAGUGUUGAAUAUCUGCUCCAUUUUAUUUUUUUGUAACAUGUAUCUUUCUAUUUUGUGAAUUGAAAUACCUGGCAGUAUUUUUCUUGCAUCUUGGUCAUAUCUUUGGUGCGCGUGUGUGUGUUUGGUCGUUGUAAUCGUCUAAUGUUUUUAUACAAUACUUCAGCUCAGUUGUUUUAUAACAUACGUUGAUAAAAUGCAUGCUUGAGUUGCAUCCGUAUAUAAUGUUGUGUACGAAUGAGAGAUGAGGAUUUGAACUGUUUGAUUUUGCUUUACCCUCCUGAUUUCCUUGCCGAUUGUUGUUUAAUGACAUAUUUAGACACCUUGAGUCUCUGAUUAAAUUUUUAAACCAGCAGGUGAAUCCCAAAACUAAUGAAAAGACAAAAUUUUACUAUCACGGAAUUGGAAAGCUAGAGUUUCUUCUUUUGAACUAUCGCCGAGGCCUUCGGUCUAUGCUCAAAUUUUUAGAGAAGCAGGUGAAACUCAAAACUUAUAAAAAUAUUGAAGUACGUGAGAUUGAAUUUGGAAAGCCACAUUUUCGUGUUGAGAACUUCGGCGAAGCAACCACCAUCGAGCGUAUCUUGAAGGUUAAAAAUGAUGUAUAGCUCUUGAACAUCAUGCCUUGGAUCCUGUCAAAAAUUUCCCCAUAAAAUCAAAUUUUACCCCAUAUUUGGUCUUUGUUUUGUUCAGUUAAUCUUUUGGACCUUUUGCGCUUAAGUUGAAAAACAUACGACAAUUGUAAUUAUACUACUAUAUUGCUUUGUUAAAAAAUAUACCCGUCUCAAAUUUUAACUGUUAUGAUUUUCUUUGUUGAAAUUUUUACACUUUUGAUGUAUGUAAUACUUGUGGCAGCUAUUAUAAAUGAAUAAAGAAAGAUAAAAGAUUGCAAACAGCUGAUGAAUUUCUUAUUUGUGUAGUGAGAUUUAAAGAGAAGAUACAAAAGGUAUACUAUAAAGAUAUAACCUUGCGCACUCAAGGCUACCCGAAAGGAGCACUCUCCUUUCACUAGAGCUUUCUGUCGUCACGAUUUAGUUAUUCAAAGAUCAACUAUGUCAUAUAUCGUGAGAGGUUUCCACGCGAAAUUUCCACAAAUACUGUUAUGUAUAUUUUUCUUUCUAUAUAGCUACCACUAUUUUUUACCAUAACUAUUUUUGAUCAAUUUUUUUUCUCUACAUAGCUACUACUAUUAAAUAGAGAGAAAAAAAACUUGCACAAUCGAAAUAUUUAUUAUGGUAGGUGGCUUUACAAGUAUUAAAAUAUUAAAAUCACUUAAGUUUUGUUUGGAAGUUUGGAGAGUUGGAAAUAUAGGGAAAAAUGAUAAAUUCUUUCGCAUUUUUUGAAAGAGUAAUUUUUUAGAGAAUGAUAAAUUAAUUUUAUUUUUUUGAGGGAAGAGAAUGAUAAAUUAAUAUUUUUUUAUUAAUAUAUUUUUAAUUUAAAAAAUAUUAUAAGUACAUAGAUUAAAUCUGAAGAAUUCAUGUAAAUCUUCCAAAACCCCAAAACUCUCCUUUAAUAAAACUUUUGAGUUCCCCAAACGAGAAAAAUUUUGUAUUAUGAAGAAAAAUGAUCCCCCAAAAUCUUUGUCUCUCAAUGUCAUUUAUUUCUUCCACUUACUCUUUUUUUUCUUUCUCCAAACCUCUCCUCUCCAUUCCCCUCCAAACUCGCGAACAAAGCCUUAAAAUUUGAAGAAAAUAACAUGAAGUUUAGGUGAUGACACAUAAAAGAGUUUGAAUCAACAAAACAAUGGAAGUUGGUACUUGUAGAUACAAGUUUAAAUGCUUGUGAAUGUUCGUGAUAUAUUUUGGUCGCAAUAUUAAGCAUUUUUCUUUUCUUUAGCAUGCACGUGUUUUUUAGUUCAAUAGUUUAGUGGUUAGAAACUCACAUUUGUAAGUUGUCUGUGAACACCGCAUAUAUCAAUUGAGUUAAAGUCAUGAUGACCGUUACAUCUUUCUAUUCAUAGGAAAAAAUCUUCUAUUGUGUUCGCAGGUAUGAUUAUAUUGAAAAUAGAACAAACGGUGACAACAAAGUUGUGUCAAUCUAAUAAGCUUGAUUAUUGAUAGAUCAAUAAAAUCCAAUAUUAUGUAUGCAUAUAAGUAUAGGAAAUGAUAAUUGGUUGAAACAAUGUUAUUGGUAAUAUCAACAAAGAAUAGUCGGAAAUACUCGAUGAUGGUGGUUGGUGGGUAGAUGAUAUCGAAUAUCAAUAGAAAGUGUAACGUAAUGCAGUUGAAUUGGUGUUGAAGGAGGGAAGGAAGAAGAGUUGGAACACUAAGCAAACGCAAAAUUAGGUGGUUGUUAGUUAAGAGUUGUUAUUUUGCUUAUCCUUAGAAAGUCUUUAAAUAGCCCUAAAGGAUAGAGGGGAAAGAUAUAUUUGAAGAGCAUUGUUAUUUACAGCGAAUGUCAAUAUCACGAGCGCUUCACGAACUAGCUUUUGUCUAGUUACUCUCCACUUAAUUUUUUCUCCCAAUACACAUGUAGCAAGUACCAACACUGCUUAGUGUCCACCAAAACAAAAACCAGAAGCAAACUAUCUCACCCUAACUUCUUUUUUGUGCAUAUCAUAUAAACAUUUGAUUUUAGUCCCCCUAAAAUAUUAUUUAGGCUUUUGGUCCAUUCAAAAUUUUCCAUCCAUGAAGUUGGUCCCUACUUUUUAGUCAACUUGUGUCUAACCUUCAUAUUUUUAAUGAAGUUUUCCAUCCAUGAUUAAUGAAGAUUUGUAUAUUCAAAGAUUCGCUCCAUGUCCCAUAAAUAGAAAAACAAAAAUAUGAAGCAAUUGUCGUUCUUCUCAGUAAUAUCAAACAUAGUAAUGACCACUCUCAUAUUCACUCAGUUUGAGAUUCUCCAUAUUUUGUGAACAAAUGACAAAAGAAUGAUAAAGUAUAGAUGGUGAUAGAAUAAUGCAUCAUGAGAUGAUGACGACGACUCUCAUAUUCUUCCAUUUUUAAACACAAAAAUGCCAGAAUCAAUCCCAUGAAUUUCUCUGUAUCAUUAAAUGAUUUCAUCAAAAUUAGGAGCCAAAAGAAAGUAGAAAUUGUGCAUUUCUCGAUUAUUGUCCCAUAAUUUAAGUAACUGAAGAUAAAAAUUAAAAAGUUUAAUUGCAGUUUUGACCUCCUAUAAAAAAAUAAUAACAAUUUUGCCUCUUAAGUUUACCAUCUCUUACAAUUUUAGUCCCUUAAUCUGAUUUUGACACAAUCAACGCACACAUGACAACUCACUGAAAUAAGUAGGAUGUCAACGUGUUAUUGUCAAUUUAAAAUUAAUAAGAAAACCACAUGGAUUCUUUCCAAAAAAAAAUCACGUGGAUAUUUCAUUAAUUAAAAAAAACAAAAAAGGAAGGAGGAAAAAAUGGAAUUAAACCUUUUUUUUUUUUUUUCUGUUCAGUUUUCUUCGUCUCUCAUGAAUAAAGAACAUGUUUUUCUUCACACCAUCACCAUCAACGCCAAACUUUCAACCACCAUUCCUCCAUCAUCUCAUACCAUUUUGCCACACCAUCACAGCCAUUGAAACUCUCUCUUCUUCCUCUACAUAACCACUAUUUUAAUUUUUAAGAUCUAAGAUGUUGAAAAUUUGUAGCCCCCACCUUCUCUUUUCUUUUUCGGCCACCACGAGCCGUGAUGUUAAAGGAAAUAUUUUCUUGGAAAUUGUGUAUUUUAUGUUUUAAAAGUUAAAAAGUUGCUCUUUUCAAUGCAAUUUUUUUUUUCUUUCUACUUUUAGCUUCUUAACCAGUGUCCGUGUCCCAGGAUACCCGUUAACAAAACCCAUUAUUUUAUUAAGUUUAUUUAAAUUCAAUGUAAUCUCUCAAUUUGCUUUAAACCACCCUUAAUAAAAUAAAAUAAAAUUUACUUUAUACUACUUAAAAAUGAUUUGUAUCUUAACCAUCUUCAACGUGAGAAGAAAAAAUCAGAAGAAAAUUGGAUUAUAGUGAUACGAAAGCUUGCCGUUUCCAUCUCUGAUCAACCAAGCUCGAUUCCGAGCGAGGACAAUUUGGGUAUAUUUCAUUCUCAUCUUCCCACGCGUAUAGCACAUUCAUCGAUUUUCAGGUUCGAUUCAUUGCUUUGGGAUUAGGGUUCAUAGUUUGUGGAUUUUAACGUUGUAUUGAACAGAAAACGUUUUCUGACACGACGGACCGUUUUGGCGUUUACCCAAGUUGUCACGUGCUGAAGAAAACAACCAUGGAAGUUAACCUUCGUCAGUAUAUAGUAAAUUCCGAAACUUUACUACUUAUUGAUAUUGGGUUUCUGCAAAUUUCUACAAUUUAGGUCUUUUAUUUAUUUAUUUUUAGUUCUAUUGUUUCAUUUGGGUUUUUAAUAAAAUCACUAUUUGAUUUUACUAAAUCAAAUUUUCUAUUGUUCAUUUUUGAAGUGAUUGGAUUUGGAAGAUGCAUGAAAAAGUGAUGUUUCUUAUUUAGGGUUAGUUUGGAUUGGCUUAUUUGAGUUUUAUCUACCGGCAUUAACUCAAAUAAGACGGUGGGAACUUAAGCUUAUAUGGUUUAGGCAUGUAGAGAGAAGACCUAUAAAUUUUGUAGUAGGGAGGGUAUUACUAGAGGCAUAGGAAGACCUAGAAAAACUUUGAGAAACUAUUAAGAAUGAUUUAGAGAUUAACGGGUCGGAUAGAAGUAUGGUAUUUAAUACAACAUUAUGGUGUUGUUUGAUCCAUGUAGCCUACCUCGCUUAGAGGAAUAAGGUUUGGUUGUUGCUGAUGUGGUUUUGUUGUAGUAUAACCACUUGUGAGACUGUUUGAAAGAACUUAUGAAUACAACUUAUGAAAUUUUCGCAAGUUGUUUUCAGGUUAUUUCCAUAAUCUCUCCAUGGUAGCUUAUGAAAACAGUUUAUGAAUUAUGACUUUAUUUUAUCUUUUAUUAUGAAAUUAGAUUAUAUGAGAAGUGUUUGUGCUACUAUAAGUUGCAAAGUAAGCUGUUUAUCUAAACAAGGACCUGUAGCUGUUAUUAUGCUUUGUUCAGAUUCUCCGGUGGAUUUGACUUUUGUUUUGAGAAGCAUAAAAAAUUGAUAUUUAUUGGUUAUUUAAUAUGUCUACAGAUUCAAACACUGAGUCGGCCGAAAUUGGGGUUGCUGCGAAUCAGAAUGCAGUUUCUACUAGUGACGGCUGUGAAAGGAGUUUGAAACCUGUGGAAGAUAAAGAAGAAGAGGAGGAAGAGGAAGAGGAAGAAGAAGAUGCAGACUUUAAUCCUUUGUUUCUAAAGGAAACACUUUCAGAUGCUUCAUCAAGUUUGAGUUCUGAAGGUGAUGGAUUGGAUCGUAAUGUUGUAGAUAGUGGGCCAUCUAUGGAUAUAGAUUUGGAAAAGAUAACGGAUAAUGAGCAAAUCUGUAGUGCAGUAGAUUCUGAACAUGGCGAGGAGGAAAUUGUUUUAGAAGCGGCAGGUAUGAUAUCUCAAUUGGAGAUUGAUAAGGAGAAGAAGAAUGACUUGAUUAGUGGUACUAGUGAUGGUUUUAGGAUAGAAGACAUAAGCAACACAACGAAACCCCGAAGCCCAGUGAUAGACAUAGAUACUGAGGAUGCUAUUUGUAUGCGUACUAGAGCUCGUUAUUCGCUUGAAGGUUUCAGUCUUGAUGAGCUUGAGACCUUUCUUCAAGAGACUGAUGAUGAAGAUGAUGUUCAAAAUGUCGAUGAUGAAGAAGAGUAUAAAAAAUUUCUAGCAGCUGUAUUACAGGGUGGAGAACGUGACGGUCUUUCAUCUCAUGAAAAUGAAAACCUUGAUGAUGAUGAGGAUAAUGAUGCAGACUUUGAGUUAGAGCUUCAGGAGUUGCUGGACAGUGAUGCUGACGAGAAUGCAGCGGUAGAAACCCGAAAUGAGUGUGAUGGUGCUGGACGACGACCAAAGACUAGACAAAAUAAUCGCCGGAAGAGCUCUUCCCAAAGUGAGAGAAAAACAUUCGGACAGGUUAACAGGCCACUGCGGCCCAUUUUGCCUUGUUGGCUUAAUGGACAACUUGUUUCAGGGAAUGGUUUGAUGCCUGAAGCUACUUGUAGCAUUCAAUCUUCUGCUUCAAGAAAUGGUCUUGUUAAUGGCUUUACUCCCCAACAGAUUGGUCAGCUGUACAGUUUGAUACAUGAGCAUGUACAACUGCUUAUUCAGGUAUUUUCGCUGUCAGUUCUUGAGCCUUCACACAAACAGGUAGCUUCUCAAGUUCAGAGUAUGCUUUUUGAGAUGCUUCACAAACGGGAUGCAGUAUUAGCUUCAACAAGAACACCAUAUCCUGCUGUUUGCUUUACUCCAUCUGUCCCAGGCCAGUGCCACACAGGAUCUGCUUCUAUCCAAGAUGCAAUGAGUGUGAGGAUUCCUCAAUACCAUCAGACCUCUUCUGAAGGUUUGAAUGGGCAAAGAAGUUGUUUUCAAGAUGCUGACGGUUCUUUCUGGUUUCCUAUUGUAAGAGGCCCUGUGCUAUCUAUGUUGGAUGUUGCUCCUCUUAAUUUACUAAGAGGAUAUGUAAAUGACAUUAAUUCUGGUAGGUGCUAUUAUUUACUUAAAGUUUUUUUCAUGCCUUUCCAUUCUAUACUGGUUCAUAAUAUUGACUUUUAUGGUUUACUUACUCAAGCAUUGGUUUGAAAUUCCUUUUACAGCUGCCCGAGAGUUUCGAAAGCGAUUCAUUGAAUCUGGUUUUGAUCAAGUUAUUGAAAAGGAACCUCUAUUUCCUUUUUCUUCAUCUGUUGUUGGAGCCAAUAGUACAGUCUCAUCUUCACCUGAUAAAAAACAACCUAAGAAAACAUUGGCUGGCAUGCUUGUUGAAAGUUCCAAAAAGCAGUCAAUUGCUUUGGUGCCAAAGGAAGUUGCGAGCAAAACUCAAAGAUUUUUGGCCUUUUUUAAUCCAGCAUUAUUCCCACACAAGCCACCCCUGGCAGCAUCUGUAAAUAGGACACUUUUCACUGAUUCAGAGGACGAGUAAGUUGCAUUCCUCCUCUUUGCGCUAGUCAACUAUAUUAAAUUAUUUACUGUGAAAAAGCUAGAUCUUGAUUCUGUUUACUUUGUAUUACUUGAAUAUUCUUUUCUCACUCAAUAAUGCAAAGGUUUGUACAAAUAUUUGUAUACAUGAGAGAUGUAAUCUAACUAGGAAUGUAAUCCUGUCAUGAUUUUAACUAACAAAUCUUAUAAUAAUCAACAUCAAUUUCUCAGCACUUCCCCUCAACUUCAUACCCCCUAAAACCUUAUCAAAACACGUUUUCAUACCCUCAAAAUGGAAGGUAUGAAAAUGUUUUUUUUACUGGUAAGAAGUGGGUCAAGUUCUUUUAGAUACUUAAAACUAAUGUUGGAGCUUUCGCUUCCACCUAUCAAGGCUUAGGUGAAAUAAAUGCAAUAUUGGUUUUUAUUCUCUUAUAAGUUCCCCUUUUCAACCAUGCUGCCAUUAAUAUCGCGGCCAACAUUUUCUGUCGUGCAAAAUCCACUUUUGUUCUACCGUUACACCGUAUGACCACUUAAUAAAAGCAUUGCGUGUCUUCAUUUUCUGCAUUUUUAUCUAUUACAAUUGUAUUCCCAUUGUUCAAGACAAGCUCGCAGUGUUUACUAAGACCUAUAUAUUUUAUUGCAGAUUACUAGCCUUAGGGAUAUUGGAAUAUAAUACAGAUUGGGAAGCAAUUAAACAAAGAUUUCUUCCCAGCAAGUCUACGCAUCAGGUGACUAUUAUUGUUGACUAAAUUUUAUGACAACUUCUUUGAAUGUGAUACAAUGGAUGGACUCUUUUCUUGCAUAUAAAUGUAUGUUAUUUUUUGUUGUAUGCUUCUUUGAGGUUUUUUCUCUAAUUUGUGAGUAUUGUCAUGUUUAGAGACUAAUGUAUGGCUCGAUCGCAUUCGUUAUUCAUGUUAUUAUACAAAAUUGUAAUAUAACAAGUAUUUCAAAACUUCCAGCGGUCAGUGGAAUAAUGAAUAUGCUGGUUCCUUGAUACACUAAUUCAACCAUAUUUAAAUUAGUGAUAUUUAAUGUAUGUAUUUUGAAUAUUUUAUGUUCUAUAACAUUAAUUUUAAGUAAUAAGGAAACAUAAAUAUUAUAAGAAAUCAAGUUAGAUAGAAAAUGAAAAUUAACAUAAAAUGCCCAUCUUAUAUGUUUUGUAAGUAACAUUAAAACUCAAUAAGAGACUAAAUAAUGAUAAUUCGCACAUCAUCCUCAUAUGUGAGCCUUUGUAACUUGGCAUCAGGCUUGUACUGAUUUUAUUUUUGGCUGAAUUUUUUUUUACAAAAAAGGUUAAAAUAUAACAACUGCUUCUUCAUCGUAGGUUUUCCACUGGAUUUUGGGUUUGUACAAACCAGACCCCAUACAAAUAGUAUUCACUAAUUUCCAAUCAAAUCAGCUUCUUUGGUCUCGUUUUUUAAAAUAUGUUUGAAAUGGCUAAAUGGGUUGCAUGAGUUAUUGGUUACUUGAAUUAAACUUUUUGUGUCGUACUUGGAUGGCUAUACUCUAAUAAAAGGCAGGGUAGGCUUACAUUUGUUGCUCAAUUCCAUUUGCUGUCAUCUAUUUUUUACAUGAUUCGGCUGCCUAGUGGUGAGACACUGCCUGAACCCCCUCCCCCAAAAGUAAAAAUGUAAAGAAAGAGCAAAAGUAAACGAAUUAGUAUGCAACAAGUUUCUUGGCUCUAGGAUAUUCAUUAGUAAAUAGUAAGCGACUGUGCUUACAGAUUUGGGAAGUUGGUUUUAAUAAUUGUCUUAUAUGGGUAUAAUAUACUAUGUUAUUCAUUGAUUGGCCAACACUUUUUUAGUUGUGCAAAUAAUUGUCCUAUAUACUAGCUUUUGAAUUAAAAUAAAAUGUUUAGUUGAAUAAUUAGUUUAGCAAUUUCAUUGUGGUGGUCAAUUUUGUUGCUUAUCUAAUAUGGCACUGAAUGGUCUGGUUACAGAUUUUUGUCAGACAGAAAAAUCGUUGCUCUUCAAAGUCAUCAGAGAACCCAAUAAAGGUAAACACACAUGCUUAAUCCAUAUAUAAUCAAAUACAAGCUGUUUCUGACCAGUUAAAUCUUUACUAUCUCUGUUUCAUCAUCAAUGGUAAAGCAAUAAUUUCCUUUGGAAGAGACUGCAUAUCCAUUUCUUAGCAAUUGUGCAAGACUAAGAAGAUUUAGAUAUAAUUUUGCUAUGUAAAGAACAUCAGUGGCAAUUUUCACAACAUUCAUAUUUUUACAGCAAUUGUCCCAUUUUGCUUGUUCAAAUUCACCAUUUCCAAGCUUAACUUUUGGUUGAGUGAUCUGUCCGUGGAUGUAAAAAUUACAAAUCAUUAUCAAUUAUAUUUCACCAUAAUCAUAUUCUUAUUCUUCUUAUUUUAUCUAAAACCCCAUGCCUUCACAGUUUUCACCAUUAAACAUUGAAAUUGCAACUGGAUAAAUGCUCAAAGUAGACAUAUUUGCGCCACAACUUCCUAAAAAAUAAAUCGCUCAACCUCAGUGUAUUUAGCCCUAAAAGAAAUAAGAACAUUGCUUCAUAGCCAUAGAAGUUUGGCUUUUUUGCACCAAUUCUGAGUCAUAAGGGGAGCCUAAAAAUUUUGGUAGAUUCUCGUGUUGGGCUAAGAGUGUCCAUACAAAUGGUUUUGACAAGACGUGCCACCAGACUUCCACAUUGCUAAAGGAGAAUUUUGAUGCAAGGAGUGAAUCACCUUUAUUUAUCAUCGACUCUAGUACCACUGUUCAAAAUAAAAUUGAAAUAGUGGGAGAUUAAACUUUUUUUUUUUUUGAAAACUCGGUAUCCGAUCCAAGGACCGACUAAUCCGAGGGGCCCAAUCCCACCGCCCACUUGCGAGGGGCCGUUCUAAGCCAGAGCAAAGCUCUAUAUGGACUUGCCCACCGACAUUGGCACCAGAGGGAAUCGAACCUGAGACCUUGAGAGGAGCACACUCCAAGAUCCCAAGCCAACCACUAGGCCAACCCCAAAUGGGUGUGGGAGAUUAAACUUGAAGAAGGAAAUUGCAAUUUAUUUCAUAGAAGAGAAUUACUAAGUAUAAGCUACAAUCAACGUGAAGUUCUUUGAAAAUCUGAACUGCCAUCAAAUUUUUUAGCUAACUGAAAACAGAUAAAAAUGCAUGGACAAAGUCAAUCAUGCACCUAGACCAAGAUCCAAAACCAACUUGCUUCAGAAAAGAAAUUUAUGGUUAAAUACUUCAAAUUUGUAUCACUCAAAUGAUGUAUUUAUCAUCAUGGAUGGAAAAUCACAAAUUGGAAUUCCAGUUGGCUGAAUAGCAAAUUGAAUUUUUGCUCAUUUUUCAUAUCAUUAUAUGAUUGAUCAUUUUAAGUAACAAUUAUCAACAGUUAAAGCCAAAAUAGAGCAUCAUGUACCCAAAGUAUAUACAUCUGAACUCAACUAAUUUGAGAUUCGAGUCACAUAGGCUUGUCCUUCGAUGUUUUUUAUUUAAAAAGAACCUAAAGAUAAAACGAACUACAGAACUGAAUAUAAGAUUUAAUUAAUUGAUUCUUUACUCUAUUUACCUGAUUUUUUCUCCAUACAGGCAGUUCGAAGAAUGAAAACCUCCCCAUUGACUGAAGAGGAGAUAGCAUGCAUUGAUGAGGUAAUUUAUUCUAGAGCAAUUUGGAUUUGAAAAUUUUCUGUUAAAUCGCACAUAAGUUUGCUAAUGCGUGACAAAAAAUUAACAGGGACUUAAGCAUUAUAAAUCUGAUUGGAUGUCAGUAUGGCAAUAUAUUGUUCCACACAGAGAUCCAUUCUUGCUUCCACGCCAAUGGCGAGUUGCUCUUGGGACUCAAAAGUCUUACAAGGUAGCUGAAGGAAAAAAGGAGAAGCGGAGAUUGUACGAGUCUGGAAGAAGAAAGUCGAAAGCUACUGAGACAGAAUGUGGGCAACCUAGGUCUGAUAAAGAGGUUUGUUACUGUCUGAAGCUAAGAAACCUGCGUUUGAAUUUACCUCUCAGGUUCUACCUGUAUAUGAAAUGUCAGUAGUCAUCUUAAAUGUAGUUUUUGUUAACUGCCAGAAUGGCUUAGGACAAAUAACAUACAAAUGCACAAUAUACAAUUUAGUCUACCUUUAUGCAAUCUUGGCUCAUACGUACAUGCACCAUAAGUAUAUAACAAAUUGUAAUCAUCAUGAUUUUAUGUUAGUGUGCUUGUAAAUGUAUCAAGAGUAAGUCUAAAGAGUUACUCCAAAUCAUGGCCCUUCAUUUGAAUGGUAAUUAAUGGUUGUGAUUAAUUGAUUAUAAUUGUUAUGGUGAGGGUUUUGUACUCCUUCUUGUAAGUCUGAUGGGAAUACCGGUGUUGCUUAAUUCUUCCAUUAUCUCUGUAUCUGUCAGCCCUUCGACACCUUCCCAUACCACAAUUCAAUUUCAAUCUUUAAUUUUUUUUUUAGAUCAAGUCUCAUUCACAAAAUACUGAUCCCCCAUGUAGCUUUCAUGGAAUUGAAAUUCAUGGGUUUCCUCUUUUUCAAUUGAUUAAUGAAUGGCAGACAACAACGUAUAUGAGAAAAAACAAAUCUUGCUGAUCUUCCCAAGUAGAAAAGGUAAAACACAAAAAGCAAAUAAGGUGAAUUGUUGUCCAUAGAAAAUAAGCGAUGUCUAUGUGUAUUGAUGUCAGACUUGAAAGGAGUACAAAACCCUCACCAUAACAAUUAUUAUCAAUUAAUCACAACCAUUAAUUACCAUUCAAAUGAAGGGCCAUGAUUUGGAGUAACUCUUUAGACUUACUCUUGGAGUCAAUGGAUCCCUUCUCUCUCUCUCUCUCUCUCUCUCUCUCUCUCUCUCUCUCUCUAUAUAUAUAUAUAUAUAUAUAUAUAUAUAUAUAUAUAUAUAUAUAUAUAUAUAUAUGUGACAUGUUCACAUUUGCACUGGCUAGUUCAUCGAUCAUUGCAGUGGACAAUGAACCUAUGGCUUAGUCUGAGUGCAUAGGUCAUCUGGGCUUUUAUAUUUGUUUUUAAGGAUUGGAAUUAUCAGAUUUUGGAUUUACUGUUGUGAGCUUUCUUUGGAACUUAAUGCAGGAUUGUGAGGCCGAAAUUGCAGAUGGCAUGGAUCAUUCAGAUGUUCCUUAUGUCCACCAGGCAUUUCUGGCAGAUUGGAGACCAGACACGUCUACUCUUAAUCAUUCAGAACACAUUUCCUCGGCAUCUGCAGAAGUAAAUCUUGGCCAUGAUUCAGUUUCACAAGAUAGUCAGCUUUAUAGAGGAAUUAACAACUAUGGUUUAAGUGGAAAUGUUCAACAUCAGAAUGGUAAUCAGCCUGCAUUUCCAUCCAUAUACAAGCUUCCCCUGCCUUUUCACUCUACAUCUGAUUUUAGGAGUGGCAUGAAAGGUGCUCCCAGUGCAACUAUUCCUAAAAACCCAUUUUUGGGUACGACCUCUAGCUCCAAGUACUGUUCUCGGCCAUAUCGGUCUCGGAGGCCAAAUAGCGCUCACUUGGUAAAAUUAGCACCGGGCUUGCCUCCUGUAAAUCUUCCUCCAUCUGUUCGUGUAGUUUCUCAGACUGCUUUUAAAGGUUUCGAGACUGGAACAUCAAAAGUUCAUCCUUGUCGAGAUGGUGUUAAUGAUGUUAGAAAAGAUAAUUCUGCGUCUCAAAUUCCUCAUGGUGAGAAAAUUGGAAUUGAUCAUCGUGCUAAACGUGCAAGACCUAUGCCAAAAGACAGUGGGGUACAUUCUCAAUUAGAAAGUUCUGAAACUGCUGAAGGCAGAUCUACUGUGGCAGAGAAAUCCACUUACGCUGAUCUCCAAAUGCAUCCUCUUCUGUUCCAGGUCACUGAAGUGGGUAACACACAUUAUUAUCCAUUUAAAUUUAAUUCUGAUCCUUCUAGUUCCUUCAGCUUCUUCUCAGGUAGACAGCCGCAAUUAAAUCUGAGUCUGUUCAGUAGUUCACAGCAACAAGGGCACGUUGAUAGUGCUAACAAGUCAUUGCAGUCAAAGAAUUCCUCAUUAAGGUUAGGAGGCAUUGAUUUUCACCCACUUCUGCAGAAAUCUAAUGAUACACAGGCGCCAACUAGUUCGGAUGCUAUUCAGGCCGAGCCACUUGUCAAUAGUGGUGUGCCUGAUACAACUAAUAUAUCUUCUGGUCUUUAUGACAAAUCCAAUGAACUUGACUUGGAGAUUCAUCUAAGUUCUGUAUCAGAAAGUGAGAAAUCUAUGAAAAGUAGACAGCUAAAGGAACACGUUCCUAUAGAGUCUCAGCAAAUCAUAGCUAGUAGUGCAACAGAAAUGAAUGCUCCAUAUUGUCAGCAGGGUGGUAGAAUUCCUUCACCGAGCGGCUGUAUACUUGCUUCAAGUGCCCCUUUAGUCGUUCCUGAUGAUAACAUUACCAGAUAUGAUGAUGUUGGUAACCAGUCUCAUCCUGAGAUAGUGAUGGAGCAAGAAGAGUUAAGUGAUUCCGAGGAAGAUAUUGAAGAACAUGUUGAGUUUGAGUGUGAGGAGAUGGCUGAUUCUGAGGGAGAGGAUGGUUCAGGAUGUGAACAAGCUUCUGAGGUUCAAAAUAAGGUAGGUUCUUUAUUUUUUUUGCAGUUAGUUUUAGAUUUUAAUCGUGCGUGUCUUUGUGUGUGCUAUAUAUGUUACAAAUUUCAAUAUUGAGGAGAAAUACAUUCUCACAAAUUUCAAUAAUGUGGAGAAAUAACAAAUCUUCUGUUAUACAAUACAGUUUUUUUUUUUUUUUUUUUAACUUCAAUCUUCUCUUAUUUAGUUUUUAUGCUGAACCAUGAACUUUUAAUUUUCAUUCGGUUUUCAGCAUAUACUUUACUAUGUGGUCCUCUCUGCUUACCAGAAAAACUUUACUUUCUUGUCUUGAGUUUAAUUAUUUAACAUGAAAAUUCGCAAGUACGCAUUUUGUUUGAGCCUUGCAAUGAGAUGGCAUACAUCUAUAUUGAGACUGCCCUGUCCAUGUCUUUCCAAGUUUGACUCUGUUAUUUGUUUGUCCUGUACGCAUGCUACAUUGGAUGGUAAUUAAUAUAUCAGUUUGUCAAUGCCAGCAUGAUAAUUCUUUACUUUAGCUGACAAAUUUGAAUUCAUGUUAUUCUUGUGAGGUUCUCAGCUCUUCCAUGCCAUGUUUAAACUCAAAAGGCCCACAUAUAAUUCAUUUGUUACACAUGUAAAUCCAGCUUCCUUUAUGCAAAGUUGGAAAUUUUCUAAUUUCAACUUUUGCUCCAUGCUUUAAUUCAUAUGUUUUUCAUCAAUCUAUUAACUAUUUGUUUCUGUUGCUUCUGAUUCAUGACCAUCUGCUGCCAACCUUAUUCUGUUGAAUAACCUUUAUGCUGGGUGAUGGUUGUCCAUUUUUCUUUGCUUUAUAGUCGUGUACCAUUCAGCACCUCAUUCUUCUUUGGUGCUGGUUCGUAUUCUUAGUUUUAAAAAAUUUUUUUCCUUCCCUUAUAACCUUGAUUUUAAUUUUGUUUUAGUUUGAGUGUGAGGAGAUGUCUGAUUCUGAGGAAGAGGAUGGUUCAGGCUGCGAACAAGCUCCCGAGGUUCCAAAUGAGGUAGUUGCCUUAUCUUUUUCACUAAGUUUAGUUUUAAUCGUUUGUGUCUGUGUGUGUAUAUUACAAACUUAAUAUUGAGGGAAACAUUUUACAAAUUUCAAUAAUCGUAAGAGAUAGUAUAUUUUUUCUCUUAUAUAGAUAUAGAUUUUUUUAUGUUUUCCUCAAAAUAAAUCUUCCAAAUGCAAAACUGAAUAUUUUUGUAAACCAAAUUUUAUGUUGAGCCACCGAUUAUUAAUUUUCAAUGUAGGUUUUCAUCAGAUGUUUAAUGAUGUGUUGCGUUUCUUACUCCUUACUAUGACUUCUUUGUAAUGAUUUUUGUGUUAGGAUAUAAGAAAAUAUCUUGACGUUAUGUCAGUAUAGAUGUUUGCUAAAUGGUGGAGCUCAGUUUUUUGUUUUCUAUUUAUUUUUUAUUUGCUAGACAAUGCAUUAUUUUCUUGUAACAAGCUUAGUAAACCUUAGCUUGAGGGAGAGUAUUAGAAUAACAACAACAACAACCAAGCAUUAUCCCACUAAGUAGGGUCGGCUACAUGGAUCAAACGACGCCAUAAUAUUCUAUCAUAUAUCAUAUUUCUAUCCAACUCAUUAAUCUUUAGAUCUUUCUUAAUAGUUUCUCUUCAUAGUUUUUUUAGGUCUAUAAGAAAAUAAAAUAUCUUUUAAUAUAUUGAUAUUAUGUCAAAAUAUCUUAGUUUGUCUCUUAGGAUUAGUUUCUUAUCUCAAAGUUUCUUAGAUUAUCUUUUAGGACUGGUUUCCAUAUCUUAGUUUUAUCAUGAUUUAUUUAUUAAUUAGGACGAGGAGACUUGUAUCCCUAUAUAUUAAGGAUAAUAUUUAGUCUUUUGUAUAAAGUUAGUAUCCAGUUAUUACUUUUCAUCUAAAACCCAUAACUUCAACAAGUUUAAUUAUUUAACAUAAAAAUUACACUUUUUUUAGCCCUGCAAUAAGAGGGCAUAUAUGAUAUUAUCUAUUUUGAGACCGCCAUUUACACAUCUUUCCACGUUUGACUGUGUUAUUUGUUUGUCCCUUGUGAGCUGUGACUCCUUAAUUGGGUGGUAAUUAGUAUAUAAGUCAGUCAGUGGCAACAACAUAAUAAUUCUUUACUUGAGCAGGACAUUUGAAAAUAAUGUUAUCCUUGUUAGGUUCUCAGCUUUAAAUUCUGAUCCAUGCUUAGACUAGAAAUGCCCAGAUAAUUAAGUUUUUGCACUUACACAUGUAAUUACACCUUCCUUAGAAAAAUCUUUCUAGUUUCGACUUUUGCCUCAUGCUUUAAUAGAUAUCUUAUUCUGUUGACUAAACUUUAUGCUAGGUGGUGGUUGGUUAUUUCUCUCUGUAUAAUCUUGAACCAUUUAACUCCCACAUUGGAGGUCCUUUAAGUUAUUUAAUUGUAAUAAAUUGGUUCUUUAAAUUUUUUUCGUACCACUUAGGUCGUUAAUUAAUUGUAACAAACUAGUCUUUAAAUAUUUUUCUUAACACUUAGGUUUUAAGUUAUUUAAUUGAAACUUUUAGGCUCCAACUAACUUACAUUUUUAAGAUCUGAAAUCCCCUAAAUUGUUACGGUUAAAUAACUUAAAGGACCUAAUUGGUACGGAAAAAACUUAAAGGGCCAACUUAUUACAAUUAAUUAUCUUAAAGGACCUAAGUGGUACGGAAAAAACUUAAAGACCAAUUUGUUACAAUUAACUAACUUAAAGGAUUUCUGGUAUAAUUUAGCCUUUUCUUUUUAUGCUAGUUUAUACUCUUGAGCAGUUUUUCAAAAUAUAUUUCCUUCCAUUAUAACCUUCCUUUUAACUUUAUUUUGUUAGGAGGUCCCAAGAGCCAAUUCUGAUAUUCAACUUGAUUCUUGUCUCCCUACAACUGAUGCUAUGCCAAAUAUGACUUUGAUUAGUAAGGAAAUGGAUGACAAAAGUAAUUCGUCGUGGCUAAGUUUAGACUUUAUGUUUAGACUUAAGUUUAGACUCAAGUAGAUUCAAAAAUCUUGUACCAUCAAAGGCUAUGCUUCAGCAGGUAACAACUGGUGAAGAUUCUGCGUCCAAAAACUUCUCAAUUGGUAAAGCAGACAUGGGGGAGGGACAUUCCGAAGACAUUGUACAAUCGCCAAGCAUAGGUCCUCGUGUGUGUAGANAUAUAUAUGUGACAUGUUCACAUUUGCACUGGCUAGUUCAUCGAUCAUUGCAGUGGACAAUGAACCUAUGGCUUAGUCUGAGUGCAUAGGUCAUCUGGGCUUUUAUAUUUGUUUUUAAGGAUUGGAAUUAUCAGAUUUUGGAUUUACUGUUGUGAGCUUUCUUUGGAACUUAAUGCAGGAUUGUGAGGCCGAAAUUGCAGAUGGCAUGGAUCAUUCAGAUGUUCCUUAUGUCCACCAGGCAUUUCUGGCAGAUUGGAGACCAGACACGUCUACUCUUAAUCAUUCAGAACACAUUUCCUCGGCAUCUGCAGAAGUAAAUCUUGGCCAUGAUUCAAUUUCACAAGAUAGUCAGCUUUAUAGAGGAAUUAACAACUAUGGUUUAAGUGGAAAUGUUCAACAUCAGAAUGGUAAUCAGCCUGCAUUUCCAUCCAUAUACAAGCUUCCCCUGCCUUUUCACUCUACAUCUGAUUUUAGGAGUGGCAUGAAAGGUGCUCCCAGUGCAACUAUUCCUAAAAACCCAUUUUUGGGUACGACCUCUAGCUCCAAGUACUGUUCUCGGCCAUAUCGGUCUCGGAGGCCAAAUAGCGCUCACUUGGUAAAAUUAGCACCGGGCUUGCCUCCUGUAAAUCUUCCUCCAUCUGUUCGUGUAGUUUCUCAGACUGCUUUUAAAGGUUUCGAGACUGGAACAUCAAAAGUUCAUCCUUGUCGAGAUGGUGUUAAUGAUGUUAGAAAAGAUAAUUCUGCGUCUCAAAUUCCUCAUGGUGAGAAAAUUGGAAUUGAUCAUCGUGCUAAACGUGCAAGACCUAUGCCAAAAGACAGUGGGGUACAUUCUCAAUUAGAAAGUUCUGAAACUGCUGAAGGCAGAUCUACUGUGGCAGAGAAAUCCACUUACGCUGAUCUCCAAAUGCAUCCUCUUCUGUUCCAGGUCACUGAAGUGGGUAACACACAUUAUUAUCCAUUUAAAUUUAAAUCUGAUCCUUCUAGUUCCUUCAGCUUCUUCUCAGGAAGACAGCCGCAAUUAAAUCUGAGUCUGUUCAGUAGUUCACAGCAACAAGGGCACGUUGAUAGUGCUAACAAGUCAUUGCAGUCAAAGAAUUCCUCAUUAAGGUUAGGAGGCAUUGAUUUUCACCCACUUCUGCAGAAAUCUAAUAAUACACAGGCGCCAACUAGUUCGGAUGCUAUUCAGGCCGAGCCACUUGUAAAUAGUGGUGUGCCUGAUACAACUAAUAUAUCUUCUGGUCUUUAUGACAAAUCCAAUGAACUUGACUUGGAGAUUCAUCUAAGUUCUGUAUCAGAAAGUGAGAAAUCUAUGAAAAGUAGACAGCUAAAGGAACACGUUCCUAUAGAGUCUCAGCAAAUCAUAGCUAGUAGUGCAACAGAAAUGAAUGCUCCAUAUUGUCAGCAGGGUGGUAGAAUUCCUUCACCGAGCGGCUGUAAACUUGCUUCAAGUGCCCCUUUAGUCGUUCCUGAUGAUAACAUUACCAGAUAUGAUGAUGUUGGUAACCAGUCUCAUCCUGAGAUAGUGAUGGAGCAAGAAGAGUUAAGAGAUUCCGAGGAAGAUAUUGAAGAACAUGUUGAGUUUGAGUGUGAGGAGAUGGCUGAUUCUGAGGGAGAGGAUGGUUCAGGAUGUGAACAAGCUUCUGAGGUUCAAAAAAAGGUAGGUUCUUUAUUUUUUUUGCAGUUAGUUUUAGAUUUUAAUCGUGCGUGUCUUUGUGUGUGCUAUAUAUGUUACAAAUUUCAAUAUUGAGGAGAAAUACAUUCUCACAAAUUUCAAUAAUGUGGAGAAAUAACAAAUCUUCUGUUAUACAAUACAGUUUUUUUUUUUUUUUUUUUUAACUUCAAUCUUCUCUUAUUUAGUUUUUAUGCUGAACCAUGAACUUUUAAUUUUCAUUCGGUUUUCAGCAUAUACUUUACUAUGUGGUCCUCUCUGCUUACCAGAAAAACUUUACUUUCUUGUCUUGAGUUUAAUUAUUUAACAUGAAAAUUCGCAAGUACGCAUUUUGUUUGAGCCUUGCAAUGAGAUGGCAUACAUCUAUAUUGAGACUGCCCUGUCCAUGUCUUUCCAAGUUUGACUCUGUUAUUUGUUUGUCCUGUACGCAUGCUACAUUGGAUGGUAAUUAAUAUAUCAGUUUGUCAAUGCCAGCAUGAUAAUUCUUUACUUUAGCUGACAAAUUUGAAUUCAUGUUAUUCUUGUGAGGUUCUCAGCUCUUCCAUGCCAUGUUUAAACUCAAAAGGCCCACAUAUAAUUCAUUUGUUACACAUGUAAAUCCAGCUUCCUUUAUGCAAAGUUGGAAAUUUUCUAAUUUCAACUUUUGCUCCAUGCUUUAAUUCAUAUGUUUUUCAUCAAUCUAUUAACUAUUUGUUUCUGUUGCUUCUGAUUCAUGACCAUCUGCUGCCAACCUUAUUCUGUUGAAUAACCUUUAUGCUGGGUGAUGGUUGUCCAUUUUUCUUUGCUUUAUAGUCGUGUACCAUUCAGCACCUCAUUCUUCUUUGGUGCUGGUUCGUAUUCUUAGUUUUAAAAAAUUUUUUUCCUUCCCUUAUAACCUUGAUUUUAAUUUUGUUUUAGUUUGAGUGUGAGGAGAUGUCUGAUUCUGAGGAAGAGGAUGGUUCAGGCUGCGAACAAGCUCCCGAGGUUCCAAAUGAGGUAGUUGCCUUAUCUUUUUCACUAAGUUUAGUUUUAAUCGUUUGUGUCUGUGUGUGUAUAUUACAAACUUAAUAUUGAGGGAAACAUUUUACAAAUUUCAAUAAUCGUAAGAGAUAGUAUAUUUUUUCUCUUAUAUAGAUAUAGAUUUUAUUAUGUUUUCAUCAAAAUAAAUCUUCCAAAUGCAAAACUGAAUAUUUUUGUAAACCAAAUUUUAUGUUGAGCCACCGAUUAUUAAUUUUCAAUGUAGGUUUUCAUCAGAUGUUUAAUGAUGUGUUGCGUUUCUUACUCCUUACUAUGACUUCUUUGUAAUGAUUUUUGUGUUAGGAUAUAAGAAAAUAUCUUGACGUUAUGUCAGUAUAGAUGUUUGCUAAAUGGUGGAGCUCAGUUUUUUGUUUUCUAUUUAUUUUUUAUUUGCUAGACAAUGCAUUAUUUUCUUGUAACAAGCUUAGUAAACCUUAGCUUGAGGGAGAGUAUUAGAAUAACAACAACAACAACCAAGCAUUAUCCCACUAAGUAGGGUCGGCUACAUGGAUCAAACGACGCCAUAAUAUUCUAUCAUAUAUCAUAUUUCUAUCCAACUCAUUAAUCUUUAGAUCUUUCUUAAUAGUUUCUCUUCAUAGUUUUUUUAGGUCUAUAAGAAAAUAAAAUAUCUUUUAAUAUAUUGAUAUUAUGUCAAAAUAUCUUAGUUUGUCUCUUAGGAUUAGUUUCUUAUCUCAAAGUUUCUUAGAUUAUCUUUUAGGACUGGUUUCCAUAUCUUAGUUUUAUCAUGAUUUAUUUAUUAAUUAGGACGAGGAGACUUGUAUCCCUAUAUAUUAAGGAUAAUAUUUAGUCUUUUGUAUAAAGUUAGUAUCCAGUUAUUACUUUUCAUCUAAAACCCAUAACUUCAACAAGUUUAAUUAUUUAACAUAAAAAUUACACUUUUUUUAGCCCUGCAAUAAGAGGGCAUAUAUGAUAUUAUCUAUUUUGAGACCGCCAUUUACACAUCUUUCCACGUUUGACUGUGUUAUUUGUUUGUCCCUUGUGAGCUGUGACUCCUUAAUUGGGUGGUAAUUAGUAUAUAAGUCAGUCAGUGGCAACAACAUAAUAAUUCUUUACUUGAGCAGGACAUUUGAAAAUAAUGUUAUCCUUGUUAGGUUCUCAGCUUUAAAUUCUGAUCCAUGCUUAGACUAGAAAUGCCCAGAUAAUUAAGUUUUUGCACUUACACAUGUAAUUACACCUUCCUUAGAAAAAUCUUUCUAGUUUCGACUUUUGCCUCAUGCUUUAAUAGAUAUCUUAUUCUGUUGACUAAACUUUAUGCUAGGUGGUGGUUGGUUAUUUCUCUCUGUAUAAUCUUGAACCAUUUAACUCCCACAUUGGAGGUCCUUUAAGUUAUUUAAUUGUAAUAAAUUGGUUCUUUAAAUUUUUUUCGUACCACUUAGGUCGUUAAUUAAUUGUAACAAACUAGUCUUUAAAUAUUUUUCUUAACACUUAGGUUUUAAGUUAUUUAAUUGAAACUUUUAGGCUCCAACUAACUUACAUUUUUAAGAUCUGAAAUCCCCUAAAUUGUUACGGUUAAAUAACUUAAAGGACCUAAUUGGUACGGAAAAAACUUAAAGGGCCAACUUAUUACAAUUAAUUAUCUUAAAGGACCUAAGUGGUACGGAAAAAACUUAAAGACCAAUUUGUUACAAUUAACUAACUUAAAGGAUUUCUGGUAUAAUUUAGCCUUUUCUUUUUAUGCUAGUUUAUACUCUUGAGCAGUUUUUCAAAAUAUAUUUCCUUCCAUUAUAACCUUCCUUUUAACUUUAUUUUGUUAGGAGGUCCCAAGAGCCAAUUCUGAUAUUCAACUUGAUUCUUGUCUCCCUACAACUGAUGCUAUGCCAAAUAUGACUUUGAUUAGUAAGGAAAUGGAUGACAAAAGUAAUUCGUCGUGGCUAAGUUUAGACUUUAUGUUUAGACUUAAGUUUAGACUCAAGUAGAUUCAAAAAUCUUGUACCAUCAAAGGCUAUGCUUCAGCAGGUAACAACUGGUGAAGAUUCUGCGUCCAAAAACUUCUCAAUUGGUAAAGCAGACAUGGGGGAGGGACAUUCCGAAGACAUUGUACAAUCGCCAAGCAUAGGUCCUCGUGUGUGUAGACCACGAAAUCCCAGGAAGCGUCGCAGC
Molecule: long non-coding RNA, 21562 nt
Filed under: Medicago truncatula (barrel medic)
Lineage: Eukaryota; Viridiplantae; Streptophyta; Magnoliopsida; Fabales; Fabaceae
Description: long non-coding RNA (MTRU_LNC008108)
Source: RNAcentral